Molecule: transfer RNA, 73 nt
Filed under: Lujinxingia litoralis
Lineage: Bacteria; Deltaproteobacteria; Bradymonadales; Lujinxingiaceae
Also listed under: 5 other names
Rfam family: tRNA
About the family: Transfer RNA (tRNA) molecules are approximately 80 nucleotides in length. Their secondary structure includes four short double-helical elements and three loops (D, anti-codon, and T loops).
Source: Rfam by way of RNAcentral
GCUGGCGUAGCUCAAUUGGUAGAGCAACUGCCUUGUAAGCAGUAGGUUGCAGGUUCGAGUCCCGUCGCCAGCU